UUAGUAACGGCGAGUGAAGCGGCAACAGCUCAAAUUUGAAAUCUGGCCCUCGGGUCCGAAUUGUAAUUUGUAGAGGAUGAUUUUGGUGCGGUAUCUUCCGAGUUCCUUGGAACAGGACGCCUUAGAGGGUGAGAGCCCCGUACGGUUGAAUGCCUAGCCUCUGUAAAUCUCCUUCGACGAGUCGAGUAGUUUGGGAAUGCUGCUCUAAAUGGGAGGUAAAUUUCUUCUAAAGCUAAAUAUUGGCCAGAGACCGAUAGCGCACAAGUAGAGUGAUCGAAAGAUGAAAAGCACUUUGAAAAGAGGGUUAAAUAGCACGUGAAAUUGUUGAAAGGGAAGGAUUUGUGACCAGACUUUUUCUGGGCGGAUCAUCCGGGGUUCUCUCCGGUGCACUUUGCCCAGUAAAGGCCAGCAUCGAUUUUCGGCGGCGGAUAAAAGCAGUGGGAAUGUGGCUCCUUACGGGGAGUGUUAUAGCCCAUUGUAUAAUACGCUGCUGGGGAUCGAGGUACGCGCUUCUGCAAGGAUGCUGGCGUAAUGGUUAUCAAUCACCCGUCUUGAAACACGGACCAAGGAGUCGAACAUUUAUGCGAGUGUUUGGGUGUUAAACCCUCACGCGUAAUGAAAGUGAACGGAGGUGAGAGCCUGUAUGGGUGCAUCAUCGACCGAUCCUGAAGUUUUCGGAUGGAUUUGAGUAAGAGCAUAACUGUUCGGACCCGAAAGAUGGUGAACUAUGCGUGGAUAGGGUGAAGCCAGAGGAAACUCUGGUGGAGGCUCGCAGCGGUUCUGACGUGCAAAUCGAUCGUCAAAUCUGCGCAU
This 813-nucleotide ribosomal RNA is filed under the name Pestalotiopsis furcata. Its description in RNAcentral is "eukaryotic LSU rRNA". It matches the Rfam family "Eukaryotic large subunit ribosomal RNA", at positions 80 to 918 of the family's 3401-position model. The record is from RNAcentral. Lineage: Eukaryota; Fungi; Ascomycota; Sordariomycetes; Amphisphaeriales; Sporocadaceae. RNAcentral also lists the same sequence under 3 other names.